AAUAUAUAAAACUGCCAUCAACAAAACCACUAGGAAUAUGUUUGAACAGAGCAUCUGUCCCUAAAUUGACUUCGAACAUGAAAAACAAAAAUGGUAAGUUAAAAAUAUGGCACUUCAUAACUAGAGGACGACUGACUACAAGAUAAACGCAGGUAUGACCUUAACUAUUGACAAGUAGAGUAAAAUGCCUAAUCUCUGCCAGACUCUCCCAACUAUUGUUUAGAUAUCUGAAUA
RNAcentral lists this unclassified non-coding RNA (234 nucleotides) under Hevea brasiliensis (rubber tree). The record is from RNAcentral. Lineage: Eukaryota; Viridiplantae; Streptophyta; Magnoliopsida; Malpighiales; Euphorbiaceae.